UUGUUUGGUGCUGAUACAACAUUGACUUUUCCCAUAAUUUAGCUUAGAGUGUUUUACACUGGGGAGUUCCAAUGUGUUUAAAUUGUAAAACUUUUUCCGAGCAUUUUUGUAGCAGAACUCCAUGUUCUAAUAGCCCCGGCAAAGUUGUUUUUAAUACUUUUUCUCUACGAAUUUUCAUUAAAAUUUAAUUCCAUUUUAACUUUGUCAAUUUUCCCCAAAGAUAAAUUAAGACACACAGAGAGAUUGUCAUUUCCUGUUUGAAGUCUCAUUCCUGUGUACAAUGUCAGUCUUUUUUAUUUAGGCCUAUGCCAUUCCAUCAGGGUAAAUAACUUUCUAACUAGUCAUUUAAGAGCAACUCCCGGGAAACUGUGAUGCAAUCCCACAUAUCAGCCAGCAUACUUUGUGCAGAAUGAAUUGUUAAGUGCAUCUAUAGAAAACGAAUGAUUGGUAUUCAGCCAAGCUUUGCCUAUGUCUUUCCAUGACCAAAAACAAGUCAGACUUCAAAAGCUGCCAGAUUAUUGUGAAAGGAGAAACACUGUUUUCGAAGGCUGCUGAUAAUGCCUAUUAGCCAGAAGAAAGAGCCUGAAUCAUUCAAAGGUUUUCCAUCUAGUAAAGAAGUGUGGUAAAAAUCUUGCCCAGAUCUGCAUGUGCUAAGCAUCUACGUAAGUUGGAGCAUCAUAUUAAUGACACCCAGUGAAGAAACGAAAGAAUGAAGUGUAAUUACUAUAUCAAAAAUCCACAGAAUGUGAAAGUAUAAAGGAAAACUCUCAGGUGAGACUCGAUUAUUUUUAUUUCAAAGAUCUAGGUAAAAAUGUGAACAGAUUGGGAGGCUGAGGCAGGAGAAUCACUUGAACCCAGGAGGCAGAAGUUGCAGUGAGCCAAGAUUGCACCAUUG
This 895-nucleotide long non-coding RNA is filed under the name Homo sapiens (human). RNAcentral describes it as "HSALNT0294266". Lineage: Eukaryota; Metazoa; Chordata; Mammalia; Primates; Hominidae. The record is from RNAcentral.